Molecule: ribosomal RNA, 321 nt
Filed under: Triticum aestivum (bread wheat)
Lineage: Eukaryota; Viridiplantae; Streptophyta; Magnoliopsida; Poales; Poaceae
Description: partial small subunit ribosomal RNA
Source: RNAcentral
AUGCCGACAACCACAACCGGGGUGGAUCCAGCCGCCAAGAGGCACAUUAGUGGCCAACGAUGGUGGCCUGCUCCCAAGCUGCAGGGCGACCCUGGUAUGAAGGGGGUGUUGGCAACUUGUGUGUCUCGAUCUGCUGAUCUCUACCAGGUGAACCAGCGGAAGCCUCAUCGUGGUGUGAACUUUAUAAUAGCACAUGAUGGGUUCACCUUAUGUGACCUUGUUUCAUACAACUUAAAGGGUCAUUGUGGUGCCUGUUGGGCCUUUGGUGUUGUGGAGUGUCUGCAAGAUCGUUUCUGCAUUCCGAACGGCAUGGUAGUCUUG